This 519-nucleotide unclassified non-coding RNA is filed under the name Zea mays. RNAcentral's name for it is "misc RNA Zm00001eb427170". The record is from RNAcentral. Lineage: Eukaryota; Viridiplantae; Streptophyta; Magnoliopsida; Poales; Poaceae.
CUCUUAGUAACAGAAGGAGCAGCCGGCCACGCCGGCGGCGGCGGUGGCGCCGCCGCGAAGGCAUGGAAUGUCUGCAAGGUCCUGUCCGCUGAGACACCAAAGCUCGUACUAGAACUGGAGCUCGUUGCAUUGCGCCUCGAAGGUGUCGUCGGCAUCGUGGCAUGGAAGACUUGCAAGGUCUUGUCCAUGGAGACACCGAGGUGGGUACCACUACUACCGGCGCUCGUCGCAUUGCGCGUCGAAGACAUCCUCGGGAGGAGAGGGCAGAUGAGGAGGCUGAAGGUGGUGUGCGAGAGGAGGAAGACGAGGGAGAGCAGCAGCAGGAGGGCAGGGAGCGAGAGGGAGAAGAGGAGCAAGGGCAACGGCUUCCGGGCCGCCGGCAGCGUCGUCGUCGGAGAUGCAGGAGUGACCAUUUUGUUCUUGGCUUGCUUGCACCUUGGGUGCUACUGCCAUGUACACAGUGCACAUACGUGACCUGACUGACUUGUGUAUGUGAGGAGCCAUUUGGAUCGAUAUUGG